GAUGAACGCUGGCGGCGUGCCUAAUACAUGCAAGUCGAGCGAACAGACGAGGAGCUUGCUCCUCUGACGUUAGCGGCGGACGGGUGAGUAACACGUGGAUAACCUACCUAUAAGACUGGGAUAACUUCGGGAAACCGGAGCUAAUACCGGAUAAUAUAUUGAACCGCAUGGUUCAAUAGUGAAAGACGGUUUUGCUGUCACUUAUAGAUGGAUCCGCGCCGCAUUAGCUAGUUGGUAAGGUAACGGCUUACCAAGGCAACGAUGCGUAGCCGACCUGAGAGGGUGAUCGGCCACACUGGAACUGAGACACGGUCCAGACUCCUACGGGAGGCAGCAGUAGGGAAUCUUCCGCAAUGGGCGAAAGCCUGACGGAGCAACGCCGCGUGAGUGAUGAAGGUCUGCGGAUCGUAAAACUCUGUUAUUAGGGAAGAACAAAUGUGUAAGUAACUAUGCACGUCUGGACGGUACCUAAGCAGAAAGCCACGGCUAACUACGU
This 496-nucleotide ribosomal RNA is filed under the name uncultured bacterium. RNAcentral describes it as "partial 16S ribosomal RNA". It matches the Rfam family "Bacterial small subunit ribosomal RNA", at positions 28 to 506 of the family's 1533-position model. The record is from RNAcentral.